RNAcentral lists this ribosomal RNA (525 nucleotides) under uncultured bacterium. RNAcentral describes it as "partial 16S ribosomal RNA". It matches the Rfam family "Bacterial small subunit ribosomal RNA", at positions 355 to 880 of the family's 1533-position model. The record is from RNAcentral.
UGGGGAAUUUUGGACAAUGGGGCAACCUGAUCCAGCAAUGCCGCGUGUGUGAAGAAGGCCUUCGGGUUGUAAAGCACUUUUGUCCGGAAAGAAAACGUCGUGGUUAAUACCCGUGGCGGCUGACGGUACCGGAAGAAUAAGCACCGGCUAACUACGUGCCAGCAGCCGCGGUAAUACGUAGGGUGCAAGCGUUAAUCGGAAUUACUGGGCGUAAGCGUGCGCAGGCGGUCCGCUAAGACAGAUGUGAAAUCCCCGGGCUUAACCUGGGAACUGCAUUUGUGACUGGCGGGCUAGAGUAUGGCAGAGGGGGGUUAGAAUUCCACGUGUAGCAGUGAAAUGCGUAGAGAUGUGGAGGAAUACCGAUGGCGAAGGCAGCCCCCUGGGCCAAUACUGAGCUCAUGCACGAAAGCGUGGGGAGCAAACAGGAUUAGAUACCCUGGUAGUCCACGCCCUAAACGAUGUAACUAGUUGUGGGGAUUCAUUUCCUUAGUACGUAGCUACGCGUGAAGUUGACCGCCUGGGGAG